RNAcentral lists this long non-coding RNA (78 nucleotides) under Anopheles sinensis. Its description in RNAcentral is "sphinx_ conserved region 1". It matches the Rfam family "Sphinx_ conserved region 1", at positions 6 to 83 of the family's 100-position model. Lineage: Eukaryota; Metazoa; Arthropoda; Insecta; Diptera; Culicidae. The record is from RNAcentral.
AUGGCUAUCGGGGAUUAUCCAGCGGAAUACAAUCCGAAGGUCCACGGACCCUAUGAUCCGGCCCGUUUCUACGGCAAG